RNAcentral lists this long non-coding RNA (258 nucleotides) under Mustela putorius furo (domestic ferret). Its description in RNAcentral is "lncRNA (ENSMPUG00000024772.1)". The record is from RNAcentral. Lineage: Eukaryota; Metazoa; Chordata; Mammalia; Carnivora; Mustelidae.
AACAAUAUGAAGGCAACUGAAGAAUGUCUGGGCAGUAUGGCAACAAGAGCUAAAGAGAACAUUUCCUGCCUAUUACUCAGGAAAAAAGGCUAGGUUUCUGGGCCUUCUAUUCCCAAAGGAAAUAAAUGACCUCUUCCUAAAAGGCACCAUACUCAGCCUGGAGCCCAACAGGGGGCUUGAAUUCACAAUCCUGAGAUCAACACCUGAGCUGAGAUCAAGAGUAGGAUGCUCAACCAACAGAGCCACCCACACACCCCU